This 301-nucleotide ribosomal RNA is filed under the name uncultured bacterium. RNAcentral's name for it is "partial 16S ribosomal RNA". It matches the Rfam family "Bacterial small subunit ribosomal RNA", at positions 509 to 807 of the family's 1533-position model. The record is from RNAcentral.
CAGUAGCCACGGUAAUACGGAGGGCGCGAGCGUUACCCGGAUUUACUGGGCGUAAAGGGCGUGUAGGCGGCCUGGGGCGUCCCAUGUGAAAGGCCACGGCUCAACCGUGGAGGAGCGUGGGAUACGCUCAGGCUAGAGGGUGGGAGAGGGUGGCGGAAUUCCCGGAGUAGCGGUAAAAUGCGCAGAUACCGGGAGGAACGCCGAUGGCGAAGGCAGCCACCUGGUCCACUUCUGACGCUGAGGCGCGAAAGCGUGGGGAGCAAACCGGAUUAGAUACCCCCGUAGUCCCUGUCUCUUAUAC